AAAGGAAAACAAAAAGUAGAAAACAAAACCUUUUGCCAGCUCAAUCAUCAUCAUCCACAGUUUUUUGCUUGACCAAAAAUGUACAGAACGAGGAACAGAGCAUAGAGGGAAAUAAUUCUACAAUUAUUAGGGUUUCUGUGUGGACGAGGAAUCUCAGAAUGCCAACUCCAUGUUGCCAAGGUUUCACCGCAUUCCUUCUGAAAUUCCUCAAUUUCUUACAAGCUUUCAUUGGGGUCUCCAUCAUCAUUUACUCUGCAUAUAUGCUUAACCACUGGCACCACCACCAUCACAACGAUGUUCAUGACGCCCAAUUCCACAAUUUCGUCUCAGUUGACGUUUCAAAUUCUGUCGUCUCGGCUUUACCAGAGUUGAACAAAAAUUCACUUCCAGCUCCCUGGUUUAUAUAUGCCUUCAUGGGAAUUGGUGUUAUCUUAUGUUGUAUCACUUGUAUUGGGCAUGUUGGUGCUGAAGCUGUUAAUGGAUGUUGCCUUUGCUUUUACUCUCUGCUAAUGAUGACUUUAGUACUCCUGGAAAUAAGUCUGGUUGCAUUUGUUGCAAUUGAUCAUCAUUGGGAGAAGGGUCUUCCGACGGACCCAACUGGAGAACUUCACAGCCUCCGCACCUUUAUUCAACAAAAUAUGGAUGUUUGUAAGUGGAUUGGCAUUGUUGUCAUCGUAAUACAGGCAUUCUCCUUGUUUCUCGCAGUUGUUCUCAGAACUUUGGUUAGUAGCCCUAAACUAAAUUAUGAUAUGGAGGGAGAUUAUGAUGUUGUUGGAAGAACAAGGGAGCCACUGCUUGAUCCACGUAUAAGCCAAACAUCUGGGUUGGCUAAAGGUGAUGCAAGAGGUGGCCAUUCUGACAUCUGGAGUUCACGGAUGAGGGAAAAGUGCUGAGUACUUAUGAACUUCAUCUGCUUUUUCUUCUUCAACAAGAUUAUCAUAUGGGGAUAAGGCUGUUUAUUAUCAUUUGGAUGGAGAAGCAAGACAUCAUAUACCAAACCCAAAUCCAUCAUGAGGAUAGUAAGAAACACAGAGGACGUGACGUUGAAUCUCAUGGAUUAGAUAAACUGGCAACAUGGCUGAGUAUGAAGCCUUGUUCAGUGAUUGUGUGUGUACCAUAAACUAUAGACCCUUCGUUUGUUGUCUGUUUAUGUAAGGCAGUGUACAUAUGUCUGCAGAAAGACAUUGCAAAGCUGGCAUGUAGAGAUAUACAUAUCUCGCUUGUUAAUAUAACAUUUCCUUUGUUGAGAAGCACUUUACUAGAGUGCAUUUCUAAGUUUAGUGAAAUUCGAUCUCUCUUUUAAAAUU
Solanum pennellii is the source of this 1307-nucleotide RNA transcript. It is a transcript of the gene named tetraspanin-20, with no coding region annotated. NCBI's taxonomy places the organism in Eukaryota, Viridiplantae, Streptophyta, Magnoliopsida, Solanales, Solanaceae. The transcript has 7 exons. The record is from RefSeq and is a predicted model, not a curated record.